UGGGGAAUAUUGCGCAAUGGGGGGAACCCUGACGCAGCGACGCCGCGUGAGUGAAGAAGGCUUUCGGGUCGUAAAGCUCUUAUCUGCGGGAAGAAGAGACGGUACCGCAGGAGAAAGCCCCGGCUAACUACGUGCCAGCAGCCGCGGUAAUACGUAGGGGGCAAGCGUUGUCCGGAGUAACUGGGCGUAAAGGGCGCGUAGGCGGAAUAAUAAGUCAGUUGUGAAAGAUAUGGGCUCAACUCAUAGAACGCAUCUGAAACUGUUAAAUCUGGAGUAUAGGAGAGGGAAACGGAAUUCCUGGUGUAGCGGUGAAAUGCGUAGAGAUCAGGAAGAACAUCAGUGGAGAAGGCGGUUUCCUGGCCUAAAACUGACGCUGAAGCGCGAAAGCAUGGGUAGCGAACAGGAUUAGAUACCCUGGUAGUCCACGCUGUAAACGAUGUCGAUUUUGGAGGUUGUGCCCUUGAGGCGUGGCUUCCGGAGCUAACGCGUUAAAUCGACCGCCUGGGGAGUACGGCCGCAAGGUUAAAACUUAAAGGAAUUGACGGGGUCAUAGCUGUUUCCU
This 562-nucleotide ribosomal RNA is filed under the name uncultured bacterium. RNAcentral's name for it is "partial 16S ribosomal RNA". It matches the Rfam family "Bacterial small subunit ribosomal RNA", at positions 355 to 1375 of the family's 1533-position model. The record is from RNAcentral.